GGAGCCGGCCAGGCAAUCGCCCCGUUCCAGUCUUCGGACUGACACGGGGAGGAAAGUCCGGGCUCCACAGGGCAGGGUGCCAGGUAACCCCUGGGGGGCGUGAGCCUACGGAAAGUGCAACAGAAAAGAUACCGCCCCCGGAUCGUUUCGGCGUGAAGGAGGUAAGGGUGAAAUGGUGCGGUAAGAGCGCACCGCGCAGGUGGUAACACGCUGCGGCAUGGUAAACCCCACCCGGAGCAAGACCAAAUAGGAAAGCAAUACCGUGGCCCGCGGUGCUUUCGGGUAGGUUGCUCGAGGCUGCCGGUGACGGUGGUCCCAGAUGAAUGAUUGUCCGCGACAGAACCCGGCUUAUCGGCCGGCUCCCCCU
RNAcentral lists this RNase P RNA (367 nucleotides) under Lysobacterales bacterium. Its description in RNAcentral is "Xanthomonadales bacterium Bacterial RNase P class A". It matches the Rfam family "Bacterial RNase P class A". From Rfam's summary of the family: Ribonuclease P (RNase P) is a ubiquitous endoribonuclease, found in archaea, bacteria and eukarya as well as chloroplasts and mitochondria. The record is from Rfam by way of RNAcentral. Lineage: Bacteria; Pseudomonadati; Pseudomonadota; Gammaproteobacteria; Lysobacterales.